GGGGAUAUAGCUCAGUGGUAGAGCAUAUGUCUAGCAUGUAUAAGGCCCUGGGUUCAAUCUCCAGCACCA
Molecule: transfer RNA, 69 nt
Filed under: Ictidomys tridecemlineatus (thirteen-lined ground squirrel)
Lineage: Eukaryota; Metazoa; Chordata; Mammalia; Rodentia; Sciuridae
Description: Spermophilus tridecemlineatus (thirteen-lined ground squirrel) tRNA
Rfam family: tRNA
About the family: Transfer RNA (tRNA) molecules are approximately 80 nucleotides in length.
Source: Rfam by way of RNAcentral